Molecule: long non-coding RNA, 2253 nt
Filed under: Sus scrofa (pig)
Lineage: Eukaryota; Metazoa; Chordata; Mammalia; Artiodactyla; Suidae
Description: lncRNA (ENSSSCG00000055215.1)
Source: RNAcentral
AGUCUGUUCUGACGGAGCCGAAGUACAGAAACCAUAUUUACAGGUACAUAUGACAGUGCUGCAGCGAUGAGCGGAAUUUUAAAAGGGAAGUUGGAAGAAAUUGACGGCUCCUCACCCUGCUCCUCUGUGCAAGAAUCCGAUGAUGAAGUUUUUAGCUCUGACAUUGCUGCCAGUAUUGAUAGGGUCAGUCUGUCCACUUCUAAUCAUUUCACUGGAAAAAAUAAGGAGAUAUCAACAGACUGAAAAGAUGUUUUCAGAGGCCUAGAGUCUUCAGGAAGAUACUGGAGUUCAUGAGAUCUCAAGGUUAGUAGACAUUACUAUUUUCAUGCUUUUACAGAUCUGGGAUAUAACUUUCUCACUGUUCCCUGUUGUUAUGGCUAAUGUGUAAUUGGAUAAUAAAGAAAAACUGAUCUUGUAUAAAACAUAUUUUUAACAAAAUCUCUUCAGUGUUUUUAGAAAUUCAUUUAUACCAGAAAUGUAUUAUUUCAUUCAGCUGGGAUGGUUACAAGAAAAUAUUGUUUUAGUGGAGAAUACAUUGGUUAUUAAAUUUUUCUUCACUUUUUUAAAGGGUAGUACUGUUAGCAUGAAAAUGAAUAUUAGACAUUCCUAUAAAAUUCUAUUUUUGAUUUGUGUCUUUGGUUACAACCAACACAUAUAUACACACAUAGUUUAGAAAGAUAGUUGAUCAACAAUCCCAUUCUCUGACUUUUCCUAGUACAGGAAAAGAAAUUUUACUUUUGUUGGAAAAUGUGACCUCGAUAAAAUAACAGCUACUAUGAAUGAGCAAAAAAAGAUAUUUGAGUAGCUUUUCUAAGUUGUUUAGUGUCAUAAGUCUAGAAAAGAAAAGCAAAAUAAGCCUACUCUUAUUAAAUGGCUUAUUAUAAUAAUAUAUGUAAAAUGUUCAUUUGGAAGUUUGAGUUAUAGUAUAGGUAAAAAUGUUUCGUUCUGAUGGGAUAGCUUGAGAAUGUGGGUGAUUUCUGACUCCUUUAUAUUGUGGGACCCAAUAUCAUAAUUUAUAAUUCUAAAUGAAAUGUAUAAACCUCUUAUUUACUUGUAAUUAUUUGUGGUGUUUAUUUACAUUUAUUGAGGUAACAUUACAUUAUAUAAGUUGCACAUGUACAUUAUAUUUUUACUUCUGUAUAUACUACAGCAUGCUCACCAUUAAAAAUUUAGUUUCUAUCUUUUAUCAUAUAGUUGACCCUUCUUAUCCAUCGCCCACCCUACCCCCAACCCCUUCCUUUCUAGUAACCACUAUUUUGUUCUCAGUAAUGAUCUUUUAUUUUGAUUGCCUUGGUUAGACUUGCUUUCAAUAUCUACUUUUCUUUACUCAUCCAAGGAUAUAUUCAUUCAGAAUUUAUUUAGGACUUACAUAUGCGAGACAGUGGGCUGAAUAUUGCUUUGGUUAUUUCAAAAUAAGUAAGAUUUUGUUCUUGUUCUUAAGAAUUGCCUGACUAACAUGUUACUCAGAAAAUAAUUUUAAUAUUAAUGCAAGCAACACAUAAGUAAAAGACAGGCUAGCUUUUAAAGGAGACAUAAUGAAUUCUGAAAUGCAAUAGGAAUUAUUUUGGGAUUAUUCAUAUUUCCACAUUAUGGCUUUUGUUAGACUACAAUACUGAGAGUUUAUAGUAAUGAGAGUGGUGCUCCUUUACAACACACACCCAAAUGACCCUUUAUUAAAGUAGCUCUUUAAAGAAGUAAUACAAGAUUCUAAGAAAGUCUCUUAUUUGUCACAAUUGCAAGUGUAAUGUAAUAGAAAAUAGUUAUGCAAACAUCUAUGAAAAGAACAAAGGUGAGCAUUACCUACUUGGUGUUUUUAAUUCCUGAACAGGCAACUUCUUACUAGAGAAUUAAAAAAUUUCCCCAGUGACCUAGAAAGGCAUGUAGAUUUGCAAUGCUUGUAAUGUAGGUUUGAAUGCUAUAAACCCCUAAGGAAUCCAUAUGCAAAUACCUAGGUAAGGAAAGAGAUUUGCAGUGGAGUGGGAGUUCACACUGCUUGAAAUGGAAUUGCACAGCACUAUGCUUCUCACAAAAAGUUUUUAAAAAGGUACUAUCAUAAGACAUUAAAGUAAGUCAAGUAAUUAAAAAUAGUAAACAUCCUUUUGAAAAGUCAGUGUUCUUAAUUGCUCUGCUAAAGUGGUUAAAUUAAUUUAUAUAGUAACCACAAUCAUUCAACAAAUAUUUAUCAAUUGCCCACCAUGUGCAUGGGGGUGACAAUGGUAAAUAAAAUACACCAAUAUCCUCGCCUCAGUGGAA